ACUUGCAGAGAGUAGUUUUUACUCUCAACAAUAAGAACUUUGGAGUUUUCCCUAUUCUCUUAUGGGGAAAUCAUAAGUUCGCUUAUUUGAAGAGACAAACAAUUAUUCAUAUUAUUAUUAUUAAAGACAGAUCUACAUUUUUUUAAAAAAACAUGAAUCGUGUCUCAGCAUCAGACCAACAAGAAUUUAUAGAAGCAUAAAGUAGCAUUGGGUCCUGUGCCGUGGAGGAGACAACAAAAUCCUGACUGAAAUUAUUUGCACUGAAGAAGCAUCCAAAACUUUGUGACAGUGCUGUGGAUCUUCACUUGUACAUUCCUAUAUUCCGAUACUCCAUUAUUAGUCAUCUGUAUAUCCUUGCAUUUUGUUCUUUAUAUAAAUUAUUUCUUGUUUUUGAAAUUGUU
Hemicordylus capensis (graceful crag lizard) is the source of this 401-nucleotide long non-coding RNA. RefSeq lists it as uncharacterized. Lineage: Eukaryota; Metazoa; Chordata; Lepidosauria; Squamata; Cordylidae. The transcript is spliced from 2 exons. The record is from RefSeq and is a predicted model, not a curated record.